AAUUAGAAAGCGAAAAUUGCACUUAGUUUCGACCUAAGUUUUGACCUAACCAAAAAGUCUCUAAUUU
Molecule: transfer RNA, 67 nt
Filed under: Munidopsis verrilli
Lineage: Eukaryota; Metazoa; Arthropoda; Malacostraca; Decapoda; Munidopsidae
Description: tRNA-Arg
Source: RNAcentral